GUAGUCCUAAAAGGGACCCGUAAAUUUUUACCUGGGACCCCUAGAGUUUGAACCGGGCUACGGAAAUUUUUAACCGGGGGACCCUAAAUUUUUUACGGAAUAACGCAUGGUUUCGUGUGCUAAUACCGUAUACGCCCUUAGGGGGAAAGAUUUAUCGGGGUAUGAUGAGCCCGCGUUGGAUUAGCUAGUUGGUGGGGUAAAGGCCUACCAAGGCGACGAUCCAUAGCUGGUCUGAGAGGAUGAUCAGCCACAUUGGGACUGAAACACGGCCCAAACUCCUACGGGAGGCAGCAGUGGGGAAUAUUGGACAAUGGGCGCAAGCCUGAUCCAGCCAUGCCGCGUGAGUGAUGAAGGUCUUAGGAUUGUAAAGCUCUUUCACCGAUGAAAAUAAUGACGGUAGUCGGAAAAAAAGCCCCGGCUAACUUCGUGCCAGCAGCCGCGGUAAUACGAAGGGGGCUAGCGUUGUUCGGAAUUACUGGGCGUAAAGCGCACGUAGGCGGAUAUUUAAGUCAGGGGUGAAAUCCCGCACUCAACUGCGGAACUGCCUUUGAUACUGGGUAUCUCGAGUAUGGAAGAGUGAGUGGAAUUCCGAGUGUAGAGGUGAAAUUCUAAAUAUUCGGAGGAACACCAGUGGGCGAAGGGGCUCACUGGUCCAUUACUGACGCUGAGGUGCGAAGCGUGGGGAACAAACAGGAUU
RNAcentral lists this ribosomal RNA (697 nucleotides) under Agrobacterium sp. HPC1139. RNAcentral's name for it is "bacterial SSU rRNA". It matches the Rfam family "Bacterial small subunit ribosomal RNA", at positions 61 to 779 of the family's 1533-position model. The record is from RNAcentral. Lineage: Bacteria; Pseudomonadati; Pseudomonadota; Alphaproteobacteria; Hyphomicrobiales; Rhizobiaceae.